AGCGAACGCUGGCGGCAGGCCUAACACAUGCAAGUCGAACGAAGUCUUCGGACUUAGUGGCGGACGGGUGAGUAACACGUGGGAACGUACCCUUUGGUUCGGAACAACUCAGGGAAACUUGAGCUAAUACCGGAUGAGCCCUUAGGGGGAAAGAUUUAUCGCCGAAAGAGCGGCCCGCGUUAGAUUAGCUAGUUGGUGAGGUAAAGGCUCACCAAGGCUACGAUCUAUAGCUGGUCUGAGAGGAUGAUCAGCCACACUGGGACUGAGACACGGCCCAGACUCCUACGGGAGGCAGCAGUGGGGAAUCUUGCGCAAUGGGCGAAAGCCUGACGCAGCCAUGCCGCGUGAAUGAUGAAGGUCUUAGGAUUGUAAAAUUCUUUUACCAGGGACGAUAAUGACGGUACCUGGAGAAAAAGCCCCGGCUAACUUCGUGCCAGCAGCCGCGGUAA
Molecule: ribosomal RNA, 449 nt
Filed under: uncultured bacterium
Lineage: Bacteria
Description: partial 16S ribosomal RNA
Rfam family: Bacterial small subunit ribosomal RNA
Source: RNAcentral